RNAcentral lists this ribosomal RNA (347 nucleotides) under uncultured bacterium. Its description in RNAcentral is "bacterial SSU rRNA". It matches the Rfam family "Bacterial small subunit ribosomal RNA", at positions 8 to 334 of the family's 1533-position model. The record is from RNAcentral.
AGAGUUUGAUUCUGGCUCAGGACGAACGCUGGCGGCGCGCUUAACACAUGCAAGUCGAACGGAGCUACAAUGGAAAGAGCCUUCGGGCAAUGGAAGCUGUAGCUUAGUGGCGGACGGGUGAGUAACACGUGAGCAACCUGCCUUUCAGAGGGGGAUAACGUUUUGAAAAGAACGCUAAUACCGCAUAACGUAUCUUUUUCGCAUGGAAGAGAUACCAAAGGAGCAAUCCGCUGAAAGAUGGGCUCGCGUCCGAUUAGCUAGUUGGUAGGGUAAAGGCCUACCAAGGCGACGAUCGGUAGCCGGACUGAGAGGUUGAACGGCCACAUUGGGACUGAGACACGGCCCAG